UACGUAGGAGACGAGCGUUGUCCGGAGUUACUGGGCGUAAAGGGUGCGCAGGUGGCGGCGCGCGGUGGGGGGUGAAAUCGCCCGGCUUAACUGGGCGGGGGCCUUCCAGACGGCGUGGCUUGAGCAGCGGAGGGGGACGUGGAAUUCCGGGUGGAGCGGUGAAAUGCGUAGAGAUCCGGAGGAACACCGACGGCGCAGGCAGCGUCCUGGGGAGUACCUGACGCGUCAGGUGCGGAAAGCCAGGGGAGCGAACGGG
This 256-nucleotide ribosomal RNA is filed under the name uncultured bacterium. Its description in RNAcentral is "partial 16S ribosomal RNA". It matches the Rfam family "Bacterial small subunit ribosomal RNA", at positions 524 to 776 of the family's 1533-position model. The record is from RNAcentral.